CGGGGGGGCAAGCGUUGUUCGGAAUUACUGGGCGUAAAGGGCUCGUAGGCGGCCAACUAAGUCAGACGUGAAAUCCCUCGGCUUAACCGGGGAACUGCGUCUGAUACUGGAUGGCUUGAAUCCGGGAGAGGGAUGCAGAAUUCCAGGUGUAGCGGUGAAAUGCGUAGAUAUCUGGAGGAAUACCGGUGGCGAAGGCGGCAUCCUGGACCGGCAUUGACGCUGAGUGAGCGAAAGCCAGGGGAGCAAACGGGAUUAGAUACCCCGGUAGUCCUGGCCCUAAACGAUGAAUGCUUGGUGUGGCGGGUAUCGAUCCCUGCCGUGCCGGAGCUAACGCAUUAAGCAUUCCGCCUGGGGAGUACGGUCGCAAGGCUG
RNAcentral lists this ribosomal RNA (372 nucleotides) under uncultured organism. RNAcentral's name for it is "bacterial SSU rRNA". It matches the Rfam family "Bacterial small subunit ribosomal RNA", at positions 527 to 896 of the family's 1533-position model. The record is from RNAcentral.